Molecule: ribosomal RNA, 534 nt
Filed under: uncultured bacterium
Lineage: Bacteria
Description: bacterial SSU rRNA
Rfam family: Bacterial small subunit ribosomal RNA
Source: RNAcentral
AGCGUGACGCAGCAACGCCGCGUGGGGGAAGACGGCCUUCGGGUUGUAAACCCCUUUCAGGAGGGACGAAGGUCACACGGUUAAUAGCCGGCGUGACUGACGGUACCUCCAGAAGAAGCCCCGGCUAACUACGUGCCAGCAGCCGCGGUAAUACGUAGGGGGCAAGCGUUGUCCGGAAUUAUUGGGCGUAAAGAGCGCGUAGGCGGUCCGAUAAGUCGGCUGUGAAAGUCUAGGGCUCAACCCUGGAAAGCCGGCCGAUACUGUCGGACUAGAGUCCGGAAGAGGCGAGUGGAAUUCCCGGUGUAGCGGUGAAAUGCGCAGAUAUCGGGAGGAACACCAAUUGCGAAGGCAGCUCGCUGGGACGGUACUGACGCUGAGGCGCGAAAGCGUGGGGAGCAAACAGGAUUAGAUACCCUGGUAGUCCACGCCGUAAACGAUGGGCACUAGGUGUGGGAGGUGUCGACUCCUCCCGUGCCGCAGCUAACGCAUUAAGUGCCCCGCCUGGGGAGUACGGCCGCAAGGCUAAAACUCAAA